CACGACACAGUUAAUGUUCUUUAUUUCAAGUAUGACAAUAAAAAUUCAAUUCACUAUUAAAAACUAACAGCAAUGGACAUAACUAGUAGGAUGCCAAGGUGUCAUUAGCACCCCCAAGUUUAAAAUUAGCGGCCCCAAAAAACCCCAAUAAGCUUUUUCAUAGUAAUUAUAAAAUAUUUUAUCCGUGUAUUUCAUGAUUAAUGACCAGAACAAAAUACAGAUUUCUUACAGACAAUCCAUGCGUAUUAGGUAGGUACAUAUAUAAUAUAUGAAAAUUAUGUUAAAAUAGUUGUGCAUAAAUUUGUGUAUACAAAAUUGUAAACGAAAUGCGUAGUUGCAAGAACCAUGUAAAGGGGACUGCGGGGGCGCAAUCCCCAUGUAAUUUUUGAUGUUUCCAUAAUUCUAGCAUCCCCAAAGUUGGCAGUCUAGUUGCGCCUAUGGUAACAAACAGCAGUUGUUCCUGUUGAAAGACAAUUUUGGCUGUUAUAAGACGGAGAGAGCACAAGCGGAUAUAUUAUCUCCUUAAGUAGGGGAUAUCUGUUAUUUUCGAUUGUGUUCUUGUUAUAAUUCAAUUUAAAAAAAAUUGUAGAGAUUUAAAAUUUGUAAAAAAAAAUAUUCUGGCAGUUUUUGAGCUAUGUAUUUGAAGUAUUCAGUUUUUUUUUUUUU
This is a non-coding RNA of Cinara cedri, 666 nucleotides long. The record is from the annotation of a GenBank genome assembly. Lineage: Eukaryota; Metazoa; Arthropoda; Insecta; Hemiptera; Aphididae.